CCCAGCUCUUCAUGAAGCUCCCUCCUGGCAGAUACAAGUGAGGAAUCACCAGCAGAAAUAUGGCCAGCACUGGAGAUAUCCCAAAGCCCUGGCCAUGAAUCCUUACAGUCAAGCUCGGCGUUGGAGAAGAAGCUCCUGCGUAGUCUCAGCAAAAAUCCAAACGUGAACAGCUCGGUGAUAAUCUCCAUCUCGAUGAACCUCUCCCCNNNNNNNUGGGCUUGGAAAUGCCAGUUUUUUUACCGGUUUCAGUGAGAACGUCGAGGCGCUCUUCAGUCUCUGCCAUUUCUUCUCUUCUUCUUCUUCUUAUUCUUCUUCUAUGCUAUUGCUUAUGCUUAUUGUUUGGUUUGAAGACUAUUAACCCAGCUUGCAUCCACUUUCGUCCCUGUGCCGAAUAUAUAUAAAUACUUUCCUUCGCGUUUGAGCGAGGCAGGUAAUGGAAUCUAACGCAGACAACGCAAUCAUUCAAAGAAUUCUUUAGGUGCUAUCAUGGAAUAUAAUUUCAAUUUCAACCACCACUCCGUUUGGGAAAUCUUUU
RNAcentral lists this unclassified non-coding RNA (535 nucleotides) under Hevea brasiliensis (rubber tree). The record is from RNAcentral. Lineage: Eukaryota; Viridiplantae; Streptophyta; Magnoliopsida; Malpighiales; Euphorbiaceae.